Molecule: long non-coding RNA, 1626 nt
Organism: Zonotrichia albicollis (white-throated sparrow)
Lineage: Eukaryota; Metazoa; Chordata; Aves; Passeriformes; Passerellidae
Source: Ensembl
CUGCAUGGUACAUAGCUGCCAGCUGGGCUUAAAUGGCAUCUGCUUUUCCCUUUUGUCUCCAAUUCCAACUGGACAUGGCAUCCAAUCCCUCUGUACUCAAGUCUCUAUCUGUUCUGCUUUCAUGACACAGAAAGAAUUAGGAUGUCUGCAGACCUGAUCAUGAAAAAUGGCAUCACAUUCCUUAAAACAAGAAAACCUGGAAUACUCCCCACUUACAGCAAAAAAGAAGGGAAAUGUGGGUAGUCUGCAAUGUGGAUCCCUGUGCAGAAGAAACAGUAACUUGCCUGACUCUGGUGUGCCCCAGGGCCCAGAGCACGAGGCUGAAGUGGUCAGCGUGUGGGGCUGCUGGCAAGCAAUCAAUAAAGAUUACAUGGAAAAAAGACACGUGAAGACUUUCAGGUCUUUUGUUGGUACAAGUUUUCAUGAAUGCCUCUGCAAAUGGUUCCUUUCAUAUUGGGAAAUCUGGAAUGAAAAUCAUGGUUCAAGUUAAAAAAAAGACAUAUUAGAUUUCUAGUUUUCAUUUUAAUUUGUGGCAGCUUUUUUCUAACAAUGUUAAUGUCAAAAACACCAGGCUUAUGGUGCACUCACAGUGAACAUUUAAGGAGAGAUAAGGCAGUGAGAAUUCUUUCCCAGUACAUUCAAGAUUAUAAACCAUGGCCAACUCUUUGCUUUGAAAAUUAUUUGACAUCUUCAAAUCUAUAAAGUAGUAUGGGAAGAAAACCUCAAAAAUUAGAUUAGUUUCUGUCUCAUGACAAAUAGUGGAAUUUGAUCAGAAAUCUUCAAUCAAAAUGAAAUCUCAACAGAAAAUAUGUUCUCCAUGGAACCGGCUGUACUUUGAUUUUAUCAACCUUUUAUUGCUUUACCUAUUUUUUUCAUGAAAAAGUAUUCUUCGUGUAGACAAAAAAAUGAAAAGCCUUUGUACAAGCCUAAGCAAAGCAAUGUGAAGGAUUUAUUUUUAAUUCGUUUUAUAAGGUCAUCUAACCAAUGUGAUUGGAAAAUGCAUAUUAAGACACAAUUGGACAGUGUUAUGCAAAAUUUCAUUCCAUGUCACUCUAGCUGACAUUGCUAACAGAAAUGCUUGGCUAUACUACAAAUUCUCUGCUUGGUUAGUCAUGCCUGAACCUGAAAAUCAGAGCUGAGGGACAAAAAAAUGUGAAUUCAACCUUUUACAAAUAACUGUAUUUAGAUUGAUAUCCAAAAUUCAGUGAAAUUAUUUUAAUUUUUCUAUUAUAUUACUUUGUAAUUAUAUGUAAGUACAUUUUAGAAAGAAGAAGAGGGAGCUUGUUUUUAUUGUGAAAUUUCAAACCUAAAAGUUACAAAAUGUACUUUUAAAAGAAAUUGUACAGAAUAGUAUUUCCCUGAAAUAUUGAAUUAAAACAAUUCUUUGGUUUUGAUGAAAAAAAAUAAUAUUUGCGUGCAUAAUAUCUGGCUAUCUCUAAAGAACACUGCUAUUAUUAAUAGGAAUGUGUGUGUGAGCUUGUGUCUGUGCAUGCAAAGCAAUCACUGCACUUCUGAAUUUGAUAAGAAAAGGUUACACUCAGUAUGGAAGUACCAGCAAAGCACAACUUAUAUUCAAGAUAGCUUUUAAAAUAAUAAACCAUUCCAUGGAUCAGGAGGGAAUGAUCA